CGGUAAUUCCAGCUCCAAUAGCGUAUACUAAAGUUGUUGCAGUUAAAAAGCUCGUAGUUGGAUUUCUGCGGGGACGGAGCGGCCGGUCGCAACUUGCGACUCGAGCUAGCGCUUUCCCCGCAUCCUGCCGCGAACCGUGCUACCAUUAGCUUGGUGGCGCUGGGGAUCGGCUCGAUUACUUUGAGAAAAAUAGAGUGUUCAAAGCAGGCCACACGCCUUGAAUAAGUUAGCAUGGAAUAAUGACUAAGGACUUUGGUUCUUUUCGUUGGUGUUCGGGACUGAAGUAAUGAUUGAUAGGGACAGUUGGGGCGGUCCGUAUUCCAAAGCGAGAGGUGAAAUUCUUAGACCUUCGGAAGACGAACAGCUGCGAAAGCGUUCCGCAAGGAUGUUCCCUUUGAUCAAGAACGAAAGUUGGGGGAUCGAAGACGAUCAGAUACCGUCGUAGUCUCAACUAUAAACUAUACCAGCUAGGGAUCGGCCAACGUUUAAUUUAUCGACUUGGUCGGCACCUUAUGAGAAAUCAAAGCAUCUGGGUUCCGGGGGGAGUAUGGUCGCAAGGCUGAAACUUAAAGGAAUUGACGGAAGGGCACCACCAGCCGUGGAGCCUGUGGCUUAAUUUGACUCAACACGGGAAAACUUACCAGGUCCGGACAUAGUAAGGAUUGACAGAUUGAUAGCUCUUUCUUGAUUCUGUGGGUGGUGGUGCAUGGCCGUUUUUAGUCGGUGGAUGUGAUCUGUCUGCUUAAUUGCGUUAACGGACGAGACCCCAGCCUGCUAAAUAGCGCGGCCGAGCUUUGCUCGGUGCGAGCUUCUUAGAGGGACCAUGAUGCGCGAUAGCACAAGGAAGUUUGGGGCAACAACAGGUCUGUGAUGCCCUUAGAUGUUCUGGGCCGCACACGGGCUACACUGGCGCCUGCAACGAGCAUAUCAGCUGGCCCGAGAGGGUCUUGGCUAAUCUUUGGAACCGGCGCCGUGCUUGGGAUUGACCAUUGCAAUUGUUGGUCAUGCAACGAGGAAUGCCUUGUAAACGCGAGUCAUCAGCUCGCAUUGAAUACGUCCCUGCCCUUUGUACACACCGCCCGUCGCUCCUACCGAUGAAUGUUCCGAUGAAAUUUUCGGAGAGCACCAGAGAACGGGGCUCUGCCUUGCAGAUCUGGAGGCUCAAAGUCACUUAAAUCUGAACAUUUCGAGGAAGGAGAAGUCGUAACAAGGUAGCCG
RNAcentral lists this ribosomal RNA (1218 nucleotides) under uncultured Rhizaria. RNAcentral's name for it is "SSU rRNA". It matches the Rfam family "Eukaryotic small subunit ribosomal RNA", at positions 577 to 1805 of the family's 1831-position model. The record is from RNAcentral.